UAUUUUAAAGAGAGCUUCGGUGCCCGUGCAAAAUCGGGUGAAACGGGAACGCGGUCGGCGAAUUUCGCUCAUGCCGCGGCUGCCCCCGCAACUGUAGGCGGAUGCUUCGAUCAAGAGUCACUGGGCCGGUGCGGUUCGGGAAGGCGGUCGAGGCGAUAUCCGCAAGCCAGGAGACCGGCCGGAGCCGCGCGUUAUCA
RNAcentral lists this non-coding RNA (197 nucleotides) under Rhodomicrobium vannielii. Lineage: Bacteria; Pseudomonadati; Pseudomonadota; Alphaproteobacteria; Hyphomicrobiales; Hyphomicrobiaceae. The record is from RNAcentral. RNAcentral also lists the same sequence under 1 other name.